UCCUACGGGGCGCAGCAGUGGGGAAUAUUGGGCAAUGGGCGCAAGCCUGACCCAGCAACGCCGCGUGAAGGAAGAAGGCUUUCGGGUUGUAAACUUCUUUUAUUCGGGACGAAGAAAGUGACGGUACCGAAUGAAUAAGCCACGGCUAACUACGUGCCAGCAGCCGCGGUAAUACGUAGGUGGCAAGCGUUAUCCGGAUUUAUUGGGUUUAAAGGGUGCGCAGGCGGCGUGUCAAGUCAGCGGUAAAAUGUCGGGGCUCAACCCCGGCCGGCCGUUGAAACUGGCGUGCUCGAGUUGGAGAGAAG
RNAcentral lists this ribosomal RNA (305 nucleotides) under uncultured bacterium. RNAcentral's name for it is "bacterial SSU rRNA". It matches the Rfam family "Bacterial small subunit ribosomal RNA", at positions 337 to 657 of the family's 1533-position model. The record is from RNAcentral.